GGUCGAGUUUUUGUGGAGCAGAUUUGAAGCAGUGAAUGGGAAAAAGAACAAGCAUGUGCUGAGAGGAGAAGAAAUCUCACUUGUAGCAUAGUUAAACCCUGCCUUCUAAUAGAAUCUCAAGAUGUCCAAUGUUAAAGAAAGCAGUACCAUUCUUCAUGGUGGUAUGAGGGAUAAGAUGCAUAUUUGAAUUAUCCUAUACAAGCACAAGAACAAAUAUAUGCUGCUAUAUACUUGAUUGGUAAUGUACUAUUUUCUCUCACUGGUCAAAGUUAAUGAUUAUUGGUUACUAUUCUUUUUUUUUCUUUUCUUUUUUUGAGUUGUUGUUGUUGUUGUGAGUACUGACAAUUGAAGAACAUCAAUUUGAUUUCUCUUAUUUUUCUUUCCAACCCGUGCUUUUGUAAGCUAAGCAUUCACUUGAUACAUUUGCUGAUUUGAUCUUUAAUUUUCUUUGAUUCUUUCUAGAGUAUAUUCUUUUUGUGGAAAAUAUUAUGUAUCAUAAUUGUAAUUGAAUUAGGAUUACAGAAUAUUUCUUUAGAAGAUUACAUAGAUUACUUCCCUUAUUAGAAUUCCUAGAUUGUAGCAGUAGCAAUAUAUGAGUCUAGCACGUUUAGACCUCUGUGCCUUUAAAUUAUUGGAGAUGUUCAAAGGAAGGAGAAAGUAAAAUCUAUGAUACGACAAGUGGAGUGCGAUCUUGUUGUCAUGAAAAUAAUAUUAGAGAAAGAAGGAGGAUUCUGCACUGGAAGUGCUAGAGUUACUGAUCACCAGGUAUGGUCAUUAUAUUCUGUGAAACUGAUAUGGUUAUUGAUGUGUGUAUCAAUAGAAUGGAAUUCUAACAAGAAUUUUUUUGUCUUAUUGUAAUAAUGGUUAUGUCUUUGCCUGGAUAUAAUAUAUUAUGUCCAAAAGAAUAAGUUUUGGGGUGUUGUCUGUGGCAGCGAUUAAGCAGUUCUGGGUACGUCUUUUCUACUUCUUUGCCCCCAUAUCUUGUGAGUGCUGCC
This is a long non-coding RNA of Rosa chinensis, 995 nucleotides long. RefSeq lists it as uncharacterized. The record is from RefSeq and is a predicted model, not a curated record. NCBI's taxonomy places the organism in Eukaryota, Viridiplantae, Streptophyta, Magnoliopsida, Rosales, Rosaceae. The transcript has 3 exons.